RNAcentral lists this unclassified non-coding RNA (620 nucleotides) under Hevea brasiliensis (rubber tree). The record is from RNAcentral. Lineage: Eukaryota; Viridiplantae; Streptophyta; Magnoliopsida; Malpighiales; Euphorbiaceae.
AAAAAAAGUCCCAUUUUAUCUUCUUCUCCCGCGCAUUAGUUGUUUCUUCCAAUUCUUUAGUGAACCCAAACACAUAAGACAUUUUUCCAGAACACCAAAGUACUGCAUUUUGGUAUGUGUACCAGAAUGCAGUGCGCAGGAGGGUCUUGCUUUGUGUAGCUUCACAAAUUAUCUACCUCUGAUGAUGUUCUCCUAAUUGAACUGUUAUUUUCAUACCCUUGUGAUCCCAUUUGGGUUGGAUGUUGCAAGGAGGGUUGCUUUUCAGGUGGUAUAUUUUAUGGUGAUUGCUUAUACAUUCCAGUGUAAGAAUGAAGAAAAUUUAUUUUGAAAAUGCGGAAAUGAAGAUGGGGUAAUGACUGGAGGCAUUUUAUUUUCAGUUUUCUGUUUUAUAGGAAACAUCAGUCGGUUUUGAACCAUGUAAAACUUAUACCAGAUUAUAAAUUUUUAGCUUCCAAUUUUGUAACCAUCUUUCCAAUUACUUCAUUUUUCUUAUUAUUAUAUAUUGCCCAAAAUGUUGCUUUCCAUUUUUUUAUUGCACUAUGGUUUAACUCAUUUAUAUAUUUCUGCAUAGGGUGCUUGCAUAAGUAAUUGACUCCUACUCUUCUUAAAUGACUUUACAG